This 400-nucleotide ribosomal RNA is filed under the name Wolterstorffina parvipalmata (Cameroon Wolterstorff Toad). RNAcentral describes it as "partial 16S ribosomal RNA". It matches the Rfam family "Bacterial large subunit ribosomal RNA", at positions 2048 to 2600 of the family's 2925-position model. Lineage: Eukaryota; Metazoa; Chordata; Amphibia; Anura; Bufonidae. The record is from RNAcentral.
UCUCCCCGUGAAGAAGCGAGGAUAAAAUUAUAAGACGAGAAGACCCUAUGGAGCUUUAAACAAUAUAGCAUCUGCCCCCAACAUAAAAAUUUCUGAAUCUUAAACCCGUUAGGCAGUAUAACUAUAAGUUUUUGGUUGGGGUGACCACGGAGCAUAAAACAACCUCCACGCUGAAAGAAUCUUUUUUUAAGCUAAGAAUUACCUAUCUAAGCAUCAAUUUAUUGACACCCAUUGACCCAAUAUAUUUGAACAACGAACCAAGUUACCCUAGGGAUAACAGCGCAAUCCACUUCAAGAGCCCCUAUCGACAAGUGGGUUUACGACCUCGAUGUUGGAUCAGGGUUUCCCAGUGGUGCAGCCGCUACUAAAGGUUCGUUUGUUCAACGAUUAAAACCCUACG